Long non-coding RNA from Eleginops maclovinus (Patagonian blennie), 1665 nucleotides. RefSeq lists it as uncharacterized. The record is from RefSeq and is a predicted model, not a curated record. NCBI's taxonomy places the organism in Eukaryota, Metazoa, Chordata, Actinopteri, Perciformes, Eleginopidae. The transcript has 2 exons.
UUAGCCGAAUGUACCAGUAAGCUGGCCGUUGUACAAAAAUGUUUCAUAGUGUUCAAGUACAUUUCACAGUUAGCCAAAACAUGCAAAUGGAGUCGUAGUGAAGUUUGACGUGCCCUACUCGCUAUACAUAACAGAAGGGGGAAACUUGAUCGAGACACACCCGGAAGUACCAAAGAAUAGCACUUCAGUAUUUUCAUGGAACAUGUAACAACAGAUGUCUUAGGAUGAUAUGAAAACCCUAUGUUCAUGCAUUUGCCUGAGCGACGAUUGUGCGAUACAUCCACAUUUACGAGUAGCUCAUGCUUCUCUGACAGAGCGCUCCUGAUCCACUGCAGCUGAGCUUCCCUGUCUGCUUCACCAUGCCGCUGGUGUUGGACGCAGUGUGGGCGCUGUGGAGCAUCGGAGCUGGCAUAUAUGACUACUUCCACACCAGUGCCAUGGAGGAGAGGAUCCACACGCUGGAAAACGUCCUCUCUAUUCACCAGUUUGUGAUCGCAGGCCUGUCGGCAGGGCUCCUCCUGCUCAUUACCUACAUAUUCUGGAGAAAACACUGAAACCUCACUCACCCCCACUACUUCUUGAUUUGUCGCAGGAUAUCAUGCAUUAACCAUGCUAGUUUCCAUCCCGAUGCUGACAGUUUGGUUUUUGUGGCUGUUCACACUUGAAUAUCAAGCAUAUUCAGCAACAAUCAAGACAUCCCAAAUGAGGUCAGGAGCACUGAUGGGAAUCUAAACUGUGCGCAAAAGCUCGAUAAGGACCUUUUAAAAUGUACAUUAUCCAUUACUUUGCGGGCGUUGGUGUGUCAGCUUCUCCCUGGUUUUUGAAUGUUAAACUGGCCUCAGUAAAAUUAAAACUAAAUUACUAAUUUGCACUUUUUUGCAAUGUUUGAAGGACAUCGGUCUUGAGAAAAACUCUGAAAUAGCUAAUUUAACAGAAAACUUUAGCCUCAAAUUGGUAUUUGUACAUCAAUUACUCACCCUGUGUAAGGCUGAAAAUGACAAAUGUCUUCAAGAACUCAAUGUGACACAGGGUGAGUUAAUCAUACACAAAUAGUCAUUUUGGGGGUGAAAUAUUUUUUUCAACAUCUUCCAAAUGUGUGAUGUGGUGCAAGAUGUUUUGCCAAUGGAGACAAUUUUAAACAUGUAGAACUUUGGAUUCGUUACAGAAGUUAAGGGCGACUGUCACAAGUAUUUAGUUAUAAAAUCAACACUUUCCUCAAACACAAGUCAUUAUUUCUUAUCUCUUUUUUUGUUGGGCUAAUUCAUUUCUCUUGAUCUUGAGAUAAUAUUUCUCAUAAGAUGGUGUCCAUGUAUAUAAGCCUAGAGAUAUUAAGAUGUUACAAUUAAGUUGCGAUCUUGUUGAUUUUGAUACACUGAGGAUAAGGGAUUUGAGAUGAAGGUUAGUCUAUUUAUUUUGUGAUGUUUAAUGUCAAGAUUAACAUUUUCACUACAACUGUUAACUGUCCUAGUUUUGUGUGUCAUGCUUUUGUGUUUUAAAUAGGGUACUGAUUUAAUCCAGUGUUGUUGACUUUAAAUACCUGCUCCAGGGGUUCAUGGGGGGUUCAGGGUGCCAGUGUACUGAAUGUACUACUGUAUGUUACAAACUGCUACGAUGGCUACUUUUAAAGGGAAUAUCUUUGAAUAAUAAAUCAUAAUUUAAGUCAAA